This is a long non-coding RNA of Symsagittifera roscoffensis, 631 nucleotides long. RefSeq lists it as uncharacterized. The record is from RefSeq and is a predicted model, not a curated record. NCBI's taxonomy places the organism in Eukaryota, Metazoa, Xenacoelomorpha, Acoela, Convolutidae. The transcript has 3 exons.
GUUCAGUUGGUGUUUUCCUCUGAAAUGUCAAUUAAAACACCAGUACCGCCAGUCGAAUGAAUCUUAUAGUUACUAACAUAAUAACAAUAUGAACCCGGUAAGUUAAUUAUUUAAAGAUGAAAAUAAAUCCGUUGUUUUUGUUUUUCUUGUUUUUAUCAUGCAUCAUUCAUACCUGGGUUCACGCAACCAAUGUUGGGUUCAGGAAACCGAUUAAUGAAACCAGGAAUAGAAUCCGACAAACAAUUCCAAAACACCGACUGCGGGAGUACUACGACAGAGUGGUUGAGAUAAAACACAAAGCGCUUGAGCGAAAGGAGCACGAGAUUACUAAUCCAGUUGCAAGGAAAUUUUUACGACAUGCACACAGAAGGCGUACAAAAGAGAGGUGGGGAUUUCUCAAGUCUAUCUGGUCCUGGUAUAUUAUAACAAAGUGUCAAUCAAACGAGCAUUGUGCUUACAAAUGUAAAUACAGAACCAGUUUAUAUACCAGUCCCUUCUCUCAGUUCUGCACCAUUCAUGCGAUCUGUCAGAAGGCCGGAUGUCUCUGUGGAUGUCGAGAGUUUGAAAGAAUCUUUUGAAAACGGAUAUGUCUGCAAACUGACUAAACAAACUCAAUCGGUGAUGAUCAUCU